Bactrocera oleae (olive fruit fly) is the source of this 1472-nucleotide long non-coding RNA. RefSeq lists it as uncharacterized. Lineage: Eukaryota; Metazoa; Arthropoda; Insecta; Diptera; Tephritidae. The record is from RefSeq and is a predicted model, not a curated record.
UAGAAAUAUUGCCGUAGAAAAUGUACUAAAGAGACAUUGAAUGUUGUUGUGAUAUGAAAAGGGGUGAAAAAUGAUUAAAAUAAUGGCAGCAAAGGGUUGUUUCCUAUUUGAAUGGAGGAGGGAAGUACACUACGUACCUCAUUGCUGCACUGAAUUUCUCGUUGUAAGGUUGUUCUGGAACUUUUAACACAAAUUACAACGUUUGACGUAUUAGAAAUAUACUAAAGAUUUGAAGUUAAUAAGAAAAUUAGAAUAUAUAUAUAAGAUGUAUACUCAUAUAAAGGAUCUGAGAAGUGGUGUGAUGCGAAAAUAACGGCCUACGGUGGUAUAACUUUUAUAGAUGCAUGUGAAACAAGAAAUAAGAAAACAGCGAACACGAAAAUGCAUUCCCAAUCAAAGAAAGCGGCUGGUGUCAACAGACAGGAACUGCAUAAAUCUAUUUUUACUACAUUUAAUAACUGUAUAAUACAUUUCUUUGCUUCGUUCCAGGUAUGUGUGCUCUGGAAUCCUCCGUUGUGGAAAAGAAGUAAGAAAGAAUUUGGAAUUAAUAAAUAUCCGUUGAAUAAUGAUUAGAUAGUAUGAUACCAAAGUGAAGAUAUAUUUUAAGACUUGUCAGUUAUUUUGCAUGGUAUGUAGUGACAUCAGACGAGUAUGAAGGAUUAAUCUAAAAAGACCUCAGCUAUCGAUAACAUCGAUGAGAGCUAAUACUAAAGUUUUUCCACUCCCGAAUACUACUCUGUAGAGAGGUCAUAUCGCCGUCAAAAACACUUAGAAUAUACUUGCGCAAACUUGUUCAUUGACUGCCAUGAUUUCUUUAUUGAUCUAACGAAAACCAUCCAGAUGUGAUGAAACUUUGUAAACCGCUCAACAGAGAAAUGAGGAAAUUGAUCAAAUAAAUAAGAGAGCACCAGACCAGCUCAGCCACUCAAACCCCAAUUGGAUGCUGAUAAGGAAACGUGAUUUGUGCUUAAUCGACUUUUUUCCGAGAAGCCAUCUCAGUAGCUGAGAACGUCUAAAGUCUCCACCCACUGGAUUGCUAACAAAUAAACAAAAGGAGAUUAAUUGGAUUAAAAACAGGGGCGUAACACUACAACAUUUUUGUAGGGCUGAAUAACCGUUCCAAUAAUAACAUUUUGAGCAGAAAGAGCUUGAUGAAGUUGAGUAUACGUAAAACACAAUUGAAGGCUUUAACGAAAGCACAAUUGACUGGCGAAUGCAAAAUAAUAAAGAGUUAAGCUAACAGUAAAGAGUUGGCGUCGCUGUGAGUGCCCAACGGUUUCUCAGAGCGCAUAGAUACUGCAAACAUCUCCUAGUCGGUAGGUGCUAUCUCGCGAAUUAUUGGCGUUGUGGAACCUAUUGCAUAUAUGCUUAUUUAUAUUGUGUUUUUAAAUAAAUAUGCUCGUAUGUACACUUGUGCUUUUGUAGCAGUCGAUAAUUCUCCCAGACUUUUUAGCCGCCUGCUGUUUAGAGAC